RNAcentral lists this ribosomal RNA (492 nucleotides) under uncultured bacterium. Its description in RNAcentral is "partial 16S ribosomal RNA". It matches the Rfam family "Bacterial small subunit ribosomal RNA", at positions 29 to 507 of the family's 1533-position model. The record is from RNAcentral.
AGUGAACGCUGGCGGUAGGCCUAACACAUGCAAGUCGAACGGCAGCACAGUAAGAGCUUGCCCUUACGGGUGGCGAGUGGCGGACGGGUGAGGAAUACAUCGGAAUCUACUUUUUCGUGGGGGAUAACGAAGGGAAACUUACGCUAAUACCGCAUACGACCUACGGGUGAAAGCAGGGGAUCUUCGGAGCUUGUGCGAUUGAAUGAGCCGAUGUCGGAUUGGCUAGUUGGCGGGGUAAAGGCCCACCAAGGCGACGAUCCGUAGCUGGACUGAGAGGAUGAUCAGCCACACUGGAACUGAGACACGGUCCAGGCUCCUACGGGAGGCAGCAGUGGGGAAUAUUGGACAGUGGGCGCAAGCCUGAUCCAGCCAUACCGCGUGGGUGAAGAAGGCCUUCGGGUUGUAAAGCCCUUUUGUUGGGAAAGAAAAGCAGCAGGUUGAUACCCCGCUGGUCUGACGGUACCCAAAGAAUAAGCACCGGCUAACUUCGUG